GACGAACGCUGGCGGCGUGCUUAACACAUGCAAGUCGAGCGAGAAACCUUCGGGUUUCUAGCGGCGGACGGGUGAGUAAUACGUGGGUAACCUGCCUCGAAGAGGGGGAUAGCCUUCCGAAAGGAAGAUUAAUACCGCAUAAUAUUACAGUUUCGCAUGAAGCAGUAAUUAAAGGAGUAAUCCGCUUUGAGAUGGACCCGCGGCGCAUUAGCUAGUUGGAGAGGUAACGGCUCACCAAGGCAACGAUGCGUAGCCGACCUGAGAGGGUGAUCGGCCACAUUGGAACUGAGACACGGUCCAGACUCCUACGGGAGGCAGCAGUGGGGAAUAUUGCACAAUGGGCGAAAGCCUGAUGCAGCAACGCCGCGUGAGUGAUGAAGGUCUUCGGAUUGUAAAGCUCUGUCUUUUGGGACGAUAAUGACGGUACCAAAGGAGGAAGCCACGGCUAACUACGUGCCAGCAGCCGCAGUAA
Molecule: ribosomal RNA, 472 nt
Filed under: uncultured bacterium
Lineage: Bacteria
Description: partial 16S ribosomal RNA
Rfam family: Bacterial small subunit ribosomal RNA
Source: RNAcentral